RNAcentral lists this small RNA (981 nucleotides) under Pan troglodytes (chimpanzee). Its description in RNAcentral is "retained intron". The record is from RNAcentral. Lineage: Eukaryota; Metazoa; Chordata; Mammalia; Primates; Hominidae.
UCAGGCGUUUCGUUGCUGAAAUUGCUAUCUGGAAUGCCAUAAUGAGAAUAGGGAGAUGAGGUGGGGUAGCUAAAUUAGAGGCAGCUAAGCAGAACUUCCCUGUAAGAGUCAUUGGGACUCCUCAGAGACUCCUUCUAGUGCUGCAUGUGUUCUGUGGGAUGUAUGUCCUCAGCUCGGGAAGCAGAGCUCCGCCAGCUUCGCAAAUCCAACAUGGAGUUUGAGGAGAGGAAUGCAGCCCUGCAAAAGCACGUGGAGAGCAUGCGCACAGCAGUGGAGAAGCUGGAGGUGGAUGUGAUCCAGGAGCGGAGCCGCAACACAGUCUUACAGCAGCACCUGGAGACCCUGCGGCAGGUGCUGACCAGCAGCUUUGCCAGCAUGCCCUUGCCUGGAAGUGGAGAGACACCUACAGUGGACACCAUUGACUCAUAUAUGAACAGACUGCACAGUAUUAUUUUAGCUAAUCCCCAAGACAAUGAAAACUUCAUAGCUACAGUUCGAGAAGUUGUGAACAGACUCGAUCGUUAGGGAAUGGUCUUAGAACUCCAAGAUGUUCCAUAAGUGUUUUUACUUGUGAGGAAUGAGAAGCCAUCCAUGGAAAUUUGAACUGAGUGGGGGCAGAGAAAGAGUGCAGAUCCCUUUGCUUGUGAAAGAAUUAUCAGUGAGUGAAAGGCCGUCACCCCAGGAAGCCAAAAGAGGGAGCAGCAACAUGUAUAUGAGCUUCCUAUGGAAUUGUCCUUAUGUGAAGCUUUGAAGGUGUACAGCCACUCUCCCGGGUCUUCAGGUUCCUACCAUUUCCAUUUCUGUUAAAGUGGAUCUGCAUAUCUUCAGCUUACUAGGUGACCCUGAUGCUGACAUCUGCUGCUGCAGAAAGGAAGACUUUUCAUUGUAAUUUCGCUUAGACCCUUUUAUCAGUGGAGCUCCAGUUUUCUUACCUAGCUGUCACUUUUUUAAAUGCCUCUGGGGGUUAUUUUUGCUUUCCUU